UAUAUGGCUUAAAAGUUCUGUAUUAUUUGUACUAUAAUACUUGGCUUUUAGAUUUACCUUGGUUUAUGGUCAGUGUCACAGAAGUGCGGUUUAAUGUAUUAUGCGUACAUGUGUAAGGCAUGAUUGGUCUAAUUGAUGAUGAAACCUAUCCCGAAGCUGAUGACCUGAAGAAAAAUAUGUACGGAUUCGGCUUCUGAGAUUUAAGACCAAUAUUCAGAGGUGGAGUAAAUUUUGUUGCCAUGAUUUUGUAACAGCUCUGUUCACAACAGCUCAAAAUCUUGGGGGUUUGUUUUUUCUGCCAACAGUGAGGGUCGCUGUCUGCCCAUUGAUAGAGCCCAGAAGUUCCAAAGUUGCAACGAUUUCUGGCUAGUACCACGAGGUUUGCUUGACUGUGGUAUGAAAAGCUGAUAAGAAAACCAUCCAGAAAGAAGCUCUUCAUUUUACAAACAUGAAAAUAAAAAUGUAAUUUUGGA
This is a long non-coding RNA of Callithrix jacchus (white-tufted-ear marmoset), 473 nucleotides long. RefSeq lists it as uncharacterized. Lineage: Eukaryota; Metazoa; Chordata; Mammalia; Primates; Cebidae. The record is from RefSeq and is a predicted model, not a curated record.